UACGUAGGGGGCGAGCGUUGUCCGGAUUCAUUGGGCGUAAAGCGCGCGUAGGCGGCCCCGCAAGUCGGCCGUGAAAUCUCCGGGCUCAACUCGGAGGGGUCGGGCGAGACUGCGGAGCUCGAGGUGGGCAGAGGGCAGUGGAAUUCCGGGUGUAGUGGUGGAAUGCGUAGAGAUCCGGAGGAACACCAGUGGCGAAGGCGGCUGCCUGGGCCUGGCCUGACGCUGAGGCGCGAAAGCGUGGGGAGCGAUCCGG
RNAcentral lists this ribosomal RNA (253 nucleotides) under uncultured bacterium. RNAcentral's name for it is "partial 16S ribosomal RNA". It matches the Rfam family "Bacterial small subunit ribosomal RNA", at positions 524 to 776 of the family's 1533-position model. The record is from RNAcentral.